GACGAACGCUGGCGGCGUGCCUAAUACAUGCAAGUAGAACGCUCAAGCGAGGAGCUUACUCUUCUUGGGUGAGCGGCGGACGGGUGAGUAACGCGUAGGUAACCUGCCUAGUAGAGGGGGAUAACUAUGGGAAACGAUAGCUAAUACCGCAUAACAAUGUAUGACACAUGGCAUUUAUGUGAAAGAGGCAAUUGCUGCACUACAUGGAGGACCUGCGUCGGCUUAGCUAGGUGGUGAGGUCAAGGGCCUACCAAGCGAAGAUGCAUAGCCCGCCCGAGAGGGUGGUCCGCCACCCUGGGACUGAGGCAACGCUCCGACUCCUUCGGGGGGCCACCGUAGGGGAUCUUCCCCCAUUGGGGCAACCCUUACCGAGGCACGGCGCGUGAAUGCAUGAGGUUCUCGGGUCGUAAAGCUCUGUUUUUUGUCAAGGACGGAAUGUGUAGUUAACAGUUCACACUGUGACGGUAGCUUACCAGAAAGCCACGGCUAACUACGUG
Molecule: ribosomal RNA, 497 nt
Filed under: uncultured bacterium
Lineage: Bacteria
Description: partial 16S ribosomal RNA
Rfam family: Bacterial small subunit ribosomal RNA
Source: RNAcentral